This is an RNA transcript of Panicum virgatum (switchgrass), 1801 nucleotides long. It is a transcript of the gene named rhomboid-like protein 14, mitochondrial, with no coding region annotated. The transcript is spliced from 3 exons. Lineage: Eukaryota; Viridiplantae; Streptophyta; Magnoliopsida; Poales; Poaceae. The record is from RefSeq and is a predicted model, not a curated record.
AGGAAAGAAAAGGGGGCGAUGAGGCGAAGCAACCGGUGGAGGAGCGGCGAGGCUAGACCGCCAGAGUCCUCCGGAAGGUUCGGCCUCCUCGCCGCCAUGAGUUGCGCCCGAAGAAAGAAGCAAACCAAAAUCCCCAAACUGAUCCAGAAAUAAAAGGAGUCCGGUGCCGCGUGGGCGCGUGGUGAUAGGAAGGCGGAGGAAUUUCAAGCAGGGAGUUUGCGUGUGGGGUGGGGUGUGACGGCGAGCUUCCGCUUUGGCUCUGUGCCUCUGUGGCGGCCGGCAGUUUCGGAGAUGGGGGCCGGCAUGAGCAGAGGCCGGCGGCGCGGCUUCGGCCUCAAGGCGUCGAGGGGGAUGCUGCCCCUGCUGGCGCUCCAGGUGCUGAUGGAGUACGGCCGCGCGGGGGCCUCCCGGCCGCCCGUGACCGCGGCGCUGCUCGCCGCCAACACGCUGAUCUACCUCCGGCCCGGCGCGCUCCACGAGAUCCUGCCCUCGCUUGCUCGAGUCUCCUUCAAUCCGCAACUCAUCAUCGAGUAUGGCGAUUGGAUGCGCUUCUUCCUGUCACCAUUCUACCAUUUGAGUGAAAGUCACCUCUUCUACAACAUGACGUCGCUCUUGUGGAAGGGCAUACAGCUUGAAACAUCAAUGGGUAGUGCUGAGUUUGCUUCCAUGGUUGCUGCAUUGCUUGCCCUGUCUCAGGGUAUGACGCUGCUCAUGUCAAAGGGCUUAAUCUUCCUUGGUGAUUAUACUGCAUAUUAUGAUCAAUAUGCUGUUGGGUUCUCUGGUGUGCUGUUUGCCAUGAAGGUCGUGCUGAACACCUGGUCGGACGAUUUUGUGUAUCUCCACGGAAUGGUUAUUCCAGCGAAAUAUGCUGCUUGGGCUGAGUUAAUCCUCAUCCAGGUUUUCAUUCCUGGGACAUCCUUUCUUGGCCAUCUUGGUGGGAUACUUGCUGGACUGGUUUAUCUUUGGCUGAAGCGCUCAUUCAACGGGCCGGAUCCGUUUACUCUUCUGGUGACAAGCAUUACCAAGGUCGUGACCUGGCCACUUAAAUUUGCUCAGAAACUUCUGCGAUCUGCCAGUUCACAAGGUCGCAUAACAGGUAGGGGCAGGGUUGGGCGCCGUGCAUCAGCAAGAGAGACCCCUCGAGGGUUAUGGAGAUGCUCAACCUGCACCUAUGACAACUCAAUUGCUACAGACAUCUGUGAGAUGUGCAGCACUGCCCGAGAGGACCGUUCUUUUUCACGGAGACAGAAUCACCAAGCUGGGGGUAGCGGUGAGCUCUCGGCUGAAGAGAUACGCCGUAGGAGGCUGCAAAGAUUUGACAGAUGAUGCAAGUCAUUGCUACCAGUGCUAAGAUUGCAUACUGGCAAUUCUGAAGCUAGAAAGUGUUGUCACAUUUGUUUCUUCUCAUGAUGAGGAGCAGUUUACAUAAUUGACUUUUUCCUCACCAUUUGAAGGAGGCUGGCUCCAUUUUAUAGGUUCUUCAAAGCCUUGAUAGUAUGUAGUUAUCGCCCACGUUUGUAUAAAUUACCUCAGGCGAUGUUGAAAUUAAAGUACUUGAGCAUAUGUCGCCACCUUCUGUUGUUAAUGUUACCAGUUGAAUAACUCCCAGCAGUAUGUGUUUUGGAUAGUUGCAUGGAUAGAGGAAAUUGGUUCUGAUUAAAGGGUUCAUACUGUGUGGUGUCGGGCAGAUGUUUUGCCUGAAUUCGCCUAAAGCUGGAUCACAAAUAGUCUGAUUGUUCAGGAUGAUUUACGUUAUGUGCUUCCACAAGUCAUCUACAUUAAAAUAUAAAGUGAUGCAACA